UGGGGAAUCUUCCGCAAUGGACGAAAGUCUGACGGAGCAACGCCGCGUGAGUGAAGAAGGUUUUCGGAUCGUAAAACUCUGUCUUUUGGGGCGAACGUGAGUAUGGUGAACAAUCAUAGUCAGUGACGGUACCAAAGGAGGAAGCCACGGCUAACUACGUGCCAGCAGCCGCGGUAAUACGUAGGUGGCAAGCGUUGUCCGGAAUUAUUGGGCGUAAAGAGCGCGUAGGCGGGAUAGUCAGUCUGUUGUAAAAGUGCGGGGCUCAACCCCGUGAUGGCAAUGGAAACAGCUAUUCUUGAGUGCAGGAGAGGAAAGUGGAAUUCCCAGUGUAGCGGUGAAAUGCGUAGAUAUUGGGAGGAACACCAGUGGCGAAGGCGACUUUCUGGACUGUGUCUGACGCUGAGGCGCGAAAGCCAGGGGAGCGAACGGGAUUAGAUACCCCGGUAGUCCUGGCCGUAAAACGAUGGGUACUAGGUGUGGGGGGUAUCGACCCCUUCCGUGCCGGAGUUAACGCAAUAAGUACCCCGCCUGGGGAGUACGGUCGCAAGACUGAAACUCAAAGGAAUUGACGGGGUCAUAGCUGUUUCCUG
This 590-nucleotide ribosomal RNA is filed under the name uncultured bacterium. RNAcentral describes it as "partial 16S ribosomal RNA". It matches the Rfam family "Bacterial small subunit ribosomal RNA", at positions 355 to 1376 of the family's 1533-position model. The record is from RNAcentral.